AUCUGAAGAUAGGGGCAAAAGAGUAAUUAGAAGGAAAGGAAAAGAAAAGAGAAGAGGGUGGUUUCGUUUGACCUAAAUACCCUCUGUUGGUGCUUGGUUGAAGGUAUGGAUUUCCUAUAAGGACCCUCUAAUUCCCAAUCUUCCUCUCUUCUCCUUACCCUUCUUUUCCUAAUUCCGAUUUUCUCCACUUCCCCGCCAUUUUUUCAAAUUCCCGUUUCUUCUUUUUUCUCGAUCAACCCUUUUCUGUUUGCCACCUAGGGUUCCGCUUUUUUUCUUCCAAGCUUCAAUCUUUCAGCUGGCGUUCUAUCCGCAAAUUCUCGUUGUCGUUAUAUAUAGUGAUUAAUGUCUUCUAUGUCUAAUCAUGAUUUGAUAACUGGCCAGAGUGAUAAUUUGGCACUUAGCCAUAACCAGCAACUGGUGCUGAACCACACUCAUAGUUUGGGAACCAUGAUUUGGACUUGGGACAAACUGAUGAUCAGCAUUUGGGUCUGGGACAACCUCACGAUCAUGAACUGGGCUUAGGAAUUGCCAAUGACCAUGAAUUGGGUUUGGGACUGAACCAUGAUGAUGGAGAUGGUGUUCACAGGUAUGGGCACGAGGAUGAGCUAUCCAUGGAUCAAAAACCAGAGCAUGAUGGCCAUGGGAUGCCCAUUCCCACUCAAAAUCAUGAGUUGACCAUAACAGAGAACAAUGAGUUGUCUGUUUCAGAAAAUCAGGAAUUUGAUGAGAACAUAGCAAUGACUGUGGUCCACAACCCAGACAUAUGAGUAUUGAAUCUGCUGAAGAAAUGGGUGUUCACGAAUCCCAGCUUAUGGUUGCCACAUCCCCUGUGAUUCAGGCUUGUACAUUAGCCAUAAGUCCUAAUUAUGAAUUCUCAGUGGGACAAGAAUUCCCUGAUGUUAAGAGUUGUCGAAGGGCAUUGAGGGAUACAACAAUCGCUUUGCAUUUUGAGAUGCAGACUAUAAAAUCUGACAAGACUCGGUUUACUGCUAAAUAUCCAAGCGAAGGAUGUCCCUGGUGCAUUCAUGCGGCAAAACUCCCUGGUGUUCCAACUUAUACUAUUAGGACAAUCCAUGAGCAUCAUACAUGUGGAGGAAUUUCACAUCUUGGUCAUCAGCAAGCCUCAGUUCAAUGGGUUGCUACCUCUGUGGAGCAAAGGCUGAAGGAGAACCCUAAUUGCAAGCCAAAGGAGAUAUUGGAAGAGAUUCAUAGGGUUCAUGGCAUCACUUUGUCAUACAAGCAAGUUUGGAGAGGCAAGGAGCGUAUCAUGGCUGCAAUGCGUGGAUCUUUUGAAGAGGGAUGCCGCUUGCUUCCACAAUACUGUGAAUAGGUGAAACGCACAAAUCCAGGAAGUAUUGCAUCUGUUUAUGGAAAUCCAACUGAUAAUUGCUCCCAACGCCUAUUCAUAUCCUUUCAAGCGUCAAUAUAUGGUUUUUUAAAUGCUUGUCGACCACUUUUGGAGCUUGAUAGAACAUAUUUAACGAGCAAGUAUCUUGGUACAUUACUUCUAGCCACCGGAUUUGAUGGUGAUGGGGCUCUCUUUCCUCUGGCUUUUGGUGUUGUUGAUGAGGAGAAUGAUGAUAAUUGGAUGUGGUUUCUGUCAGAACUUCAUAACCUGAUGGAGACAAACACCGAAAACAUGCCAAGGCUUACAAUUUUGUCUGACAGGCAGAAGGGNAUANUAGAUGGUGNGGAAGCAAAUUUUCCCACUGCAUUCCAUGGAUUUUGUAUGCGUCACUUGAGUGACAGCUUUCGCAAGGAGUUUAACAACACAAUACUUGUUGAUCUUCUAUGGGAAGCUGCUCAAGUUCUUACCAUACUUGAAUUUGAAGCAAAAGUUUUAGAGAUUGAAGAAAUAUCACAAGAUGCUGCGUACUGGANUCGAAGAAUUCCACCUCAUUUGUGGGCUACUNCAUACUUUGAGGGGCAAAGUUUCUUUCAUUUUUCAGCAAACAUAGUUGAAUCUUUAAACACAUGGAUAUUAGAGGCAUCUGGGCUUCCAAUAAUUCAAAUGAUGGAAUGCAUAAGAAGACAACUAAUGACUUGGUUUAACGAGCGACGAGAGAACAGCAUGCAGUGGACAUCAAUACUUGUACCUUCAGCUGAGAGUUGUUACAGAAGCUCUUGAUCGUGCGAGGACACACCAGGUACUUCGUGCCACUGAUGCUGAAUUUGAAGUUAUAUCACAUGAAGGAACAAACACUGUUGAUAUUAGGACCCGUUGUUGUCAAUGUCGUGGGUGGCAGCUCUAUGGUUUGCCUUGUGCACAUGCUGUGGCUGCUCUUCUCUCUAUUAGGCAGAAUGUGCAAAGAUUCACAGAAACCUGUUUUACUGUUGCAAACUACAGAAAGACAUACUCACAGACCAUAUACCCAAUUCCUGAUAAAUCUCUGUGGAAGGAGUUGUCUGAGGCUGAGGGGGUUGUCACUGUUUCUGAUGUUGAUCAACUUCAACUUCAACUUACUAUUAACCCUCCUAAUUCACUCCGGCCACCGGGGAGACCCAGAAAGAAACGGGUUCGGGUAGAAGACCGUGGCCGCAUAAAACGGGUUGUGCAUUGCAAUCAAACCGGUCACUUUAGAACUACCUGUGCAGCUCCCAUCUGAGUCUCCUCCUACACCUUAGUUUUUCAUUAUUUAUUAUUUAGGCUUUUUAGCUUAGACCCUCCAAAUUUUCUUUUUUUAUUUCUUUUACAUUAAUGUGAAUUAAUAUGUUUCAGCUGUUGUGUAUUUAUAGUCAAUUAAUUUACAUUUUUUCAGUAAGCAUACAACACUUCAAUACAUCCUUAUUUCAAAACUUAAAAAAUUCUUAACAUGACUCGAAUGAUUCUAGAGAACGAGGGUAU
This is an RNA transcript of Vigna radiata var. radiata (mung bean), 2845 nucleotides long. RefSeq lists it as uncharacterized. The transcript has 2 exons. NCBI's taxonomy places the organism in Eukaryota, Viridiplantae, Streptophyta, Magnoliopsida, Fabales, Fabaceae. The record is from RefSeq and is a predicted model, not a curated record.